GCGACCCCAGGAUGGGCGGGAUGACCCGCUGAGUUUAAGCAUAUCAAUAAGCGGAGGAAAAGAAACU
RNAcentral lists this ribosomal RNA (67 nucleotides) under Cyclopogon congestus. RNAcentral describes it as "partial 26S ribosomal RNA". It matches the Rfam family "Eukaryotic large subunit ribosomal RNA", at positions 1 to 66 of the family's 3401-position model. The record is from RNAcentral. RNAcentral also lists the same sequence under 17 other names. Lineage: Eukaryota; Viridiplantae; Streptophyta; Magnoliopsida; Asparagales; Orchidaceae.